UCAAAAUGGUAUCUAUGGACUGAAAAGGCGUCAACAUUAACACUACAGCAAACAAGUGAGCAGUUCCAGACCAAAAAUAAGAGAUAUAGCCAGGAUCUUUCAUGAAUGAUUUUUAUCACUGAGGUAAGAAGAAACAAAAUAGAUAAUACAUGCUGUAACCUUACAGGGCUCAAAGUCAUGUUCAGAAAUAUUCCUGGCAGGUGAGACAGAACAGCUGAGACGAGCACAUCUGAAACAGGUCUAAUGGCGUGGGUGCUGGCAUAGAGGAGGGAAAUGUGAAUAUAUAAGACCUGGUUUGCCUUCUUCAUGUUCUGCAUGAACAUGCAGUCGCUUCUUUUCAGCUUUUAGAAAGUACCACCCUUUACACAAAGGAUGCAGAAGAUAUAUGACUGUUUCAAGUUUUAAUUUAGCUAUAAAUGAAAGAAAGUAUUUUUAUAUAGCUGCCUGCCGCUCCAGGACAAAUGAUAAGCUUAGUAUUUUCCUACAUAUUGUGUGAGUCUGUUUGACAUCCUCCUGAAUCCACAGUGUUCUCUCCUUUAAAAAUGUAGCCCAAGUCUUAACUUUAAUCACAUUUUAAUAAAAGCUUAGUAUAAC
This is a long non-coding RNA of Pseudonaja textilis, 594 nucleotides long. RefSeq lists it as uncharacterized. The record is from RefSeq and is a predicted model, not a curated record. NCBI's taxonomy places the organism in Eukaryota, Metazoa, Chordata, Lepidosauria, Squamata, Elapidae.